CCUUCGGGUCUAGUGGCGCACGGGUGCGUAACGCGUGGGAAUCUACCCUUAGGUUCGGAAUAACUCACCGAAAGGUGUGCUAAUACCGGAUGAUGUCGCAAGACCAAAGAUUUAUCGCCUUUGGAUGAGCCCGCGUAAGAUUAGCUAGUUGGUGGGGUAAUGGCCCACCAAGGCGACGAUCUUUAGCUGGUCUGAGAGGAUGAUCAGCCACACUGGGACUGAGACACGGCCCAGACUCCUACGGGAGGCAGCAGUGGGGAAUAUUGGACAAUGGGCGAAAGCCUGAUCCAGCAAUGCCGCGUGAGUGAUGAAGGCCUUAGGGUUGUAAAGCUCUUUUACCCGGGAUGAUAAUGACAGUACCGGGAGAAUAAGCUCCGGCUAACUCCGUGCCAGCCGCCGCGGUAAU
This 406-nucleotide ribosomal RNA is filed under the name uncultured bacterium. RNAcentral's name for it is "bacterial SSU rRNA". It matches the Rfam family "Bacterial small subunit ribosomal RNA", at positions 83 to 524 of the family's 1533-position model. The record is from RNAcentral.